UUGGGAUUAGAUACCCCACUAUGCUUAGCCGUAAACCUAAAUAGWCACAAAACAAGACUAUUCGCCAGAGUACUACUAGCAACAGCCUAAAACUCAAGGGACUUGGCGGUGCUUCAUAUCCCCCUAGAGGAGCCUGUUCUAUAAUCGAUAAACCCCGAUCAACCUCACCAGCCCUUGCUACUUCAGUCUAUAUACCGCCAUCUUCAGCAAACCCUAAAAGGGAACAAGAGUAAGCAUAACUAUCCUACGUAAAAACGUUAGGUCAAGGUGUAACCUAUGGGGUGGGAAGAAAUGGGCUACAUUUUCUAUACCAAGAACAUCCUUAACUCUUACACGAAAGUUUUUAUGAAACCUAAAAACUAAAGGAGGAUUUAGCAGUAAAUUAAGAGCAGAGCGCUUAAUUGAAUAAGGCCAUGAAGCACGCACACACCGCCCGUC
Molecule: ribosomal RNA, 438 nt
Filed under: Berardius bairdii (Baird's beaked whale)
Lineage: Eukaryota; Metazoa; Chordata; Mammalia; Artiodactyla; Ziphiidae
Description: partial 12S ribosomal RNA
Rfam family: Bacterial small subunit ribosomal RNA
Source: RNAcentral